AUCGCUCUUUGAAAAAGCUUUAUAAGGAGUAAUGCCUGCCCAGUACUUUUAGUUUAACGGCCGCGGUAUCUUGACCGUGCAAAGGUAGCAUAAUCAUUUGUUCUUUAAUUGGGGACUUGCAUGAAAGGCAACACGAAAACUUAACUGUCUCUUUUUUUAAAAAAGAAUUUUAUUUUUUAGUGAAGAAGCUAAAAAUUAAUUGUAAGACGAGAAGACCCUGUCGAGCUUAAGAAAAUUCUUAUAAAAAUUUUAACUUAAGGGAUAAACUCUACCUCCCCAAAAAAAAUUUUCUAAUAAAGAAUAUCUUUGGUUGGGGCAACCACGAAGAAAAAAUAACCUUCGUUUAAUAAAAAAAAUUUACAAAUUUAAAAAAUUAUUAAAAUAAAUUUAUGAUCCAAAAAAUUUUGAUCAAAGAAAAAAGUUACCGCAGGGAUAACAGCGUUAUUUUCUUUGAGAGUUCUUAUUGACAAGAAAGUUUGCGACCUCGAUGUUGGACCGGGGUAUCCAAGAGAUGCAAAAGUCUCUAAAGGUAGGUCUGUUCGACCUUUAAAACCCUACGUGAU
Molecule: ribosomal RNA, 563 nt
Filed under: Iconometra cf. anisa NSMT-E79
Lineage: Eukaryota; Metazoa; Echinodermata; Crinoidea; Comatulida; Colobometridae
Description: partial large subunit ribosomal RNA
Rfam family: Bacterial large subunit ribosomal RNA
Source: RNAcentral